UAAGAGGGUCUUCCCAUCAUAUUAUAUCCUUCACGAUGUAUUUUUUGUUCGUUGCUUUAUUUAUUUAUAAAAACAGGACAAGAGCUUAAAAAAGUUUCGUUUUGCCCGCGAUGCUUUGAGCAUUUUUUUCAUGAAACAGAAAGCUUCAAUGACGAUGGCCGGGCCGAGUGAUAACUCAGCAAGUCACACGUCCUUGUCUCUUCUCCGGACCUGUCCAUUUG
This 221-nucleotide long non-coding RNA is filed under the name Hordeum vulgare. RNAcentral's name for it is "long non-coding RNA (HVUL_LNC008636)". Lineage: Eukaryota; Viridiplantae; Streptophyta; Magnoliopsida; Poales; Poaceae. The record is from RNAcentral.